UAGGGAAUCUUCCACAAUGGACGCAAGUCUGAUGGAGCAACGCCGCGUGAGUGAAGAAGGUUUUCGGAUCGUAAAGCUCUGUUGUUGGUGAAGAAGGAUAGAGGCAGUAACUGGUCUUUAUUUGACGGUAAUCAACCAGAAAGUCACGGCUAACUACGUGCCAGCAGCCGCGGUAAUACGUAGGUGGCAAGCGUUGUCCGGAUUUAUUGGGCGUAAAGCGAGCGCAGGCGGAAUGAUAAGUCUGAUGUGAAAGCCCACGGCUCAACCGUGGGACUGGAUCGGGAACUGUCAUUCUUGAGUGCAGAAGAGGAGAGUGGAAUUCCAUGUGUAGCGGUGGAAUGCGUAGAUAUAUGGAAGAACACCAGUGGCGAAGGCGGCUCUCUGGGCUGCAACUGACGCUGAGGCUCGAAAGCAUGGGUAGCGAACAGG
Molecule: ribosomal RNA, 429 nt
Filed under: bacterium
Lineage: Bacteria
Description: partial 16S ribosomal RNA
Rfam family: Bacterial small subunit ribosomal RNA
Source: RNAcentral